Molecule: RNA transcript, 1514 nt
Organism: Daucus carota subsp. sativus
Lineage: Eukaryota; Viridiplantae; Streptophyta; Magnoliopsida; Apiales; Apiaceae
Gene name: BTB/POZ domain-containing protein At1g21780
Exons: 5
Source: RefSeq, a predicted model, not a curated record
AAUCUGACGUGUCCUCCAAACCAUUUACCAGCCUAGCCGAGUCUAGUUCCACGAAUCGAACAUCGAAGUGAAGAAGAUAUACACAUCAACAUAUCGAUAGAGAUAGAUACAACCCACAUAUCUCUUUCGCUUGUGUAUAGAGAGUGACAGAAGAUCGAAAUGGCAGAAGCUAAGGUGGAAACUAUCUCAAGGCUAGUUCAAUGGAAGAUCGAAACUUUUGGACCUUGCACUUUCAAAAAAUCCGAUCCCUUCAAAAUGGGCCCUUGGACUUGGAAUUUAUCAGUUGAGAAGAAUAGGCACAUGUAUAUUCGUUUGUUUCCUGAGCCUACAAGAAUUGCCAAAGAGCAGCCUCCAAUUGCACGGUUCAUUCUCCGGGUUACGACGAAUAACGGCCUUAAUCGGAGGCCCUAUAUUUCCCCAAUUCAUGAGAGACUGCUUCGAACUAGCGAAGACUUUGUAUGGCCAGUUGAUUCUUCUUUUUAUGGCCGUUUCAUGAUUGAUGUUGAGUUUUUGGAUCUGAAGGUCUGCCCAACAAAUGGCGGAGAAGCCACCUCCAUAUGGCCCUGUGGUGGCCAAACGCUAUCUCUAGCAACCCAAAGCACUCUUCGAUGCCUUUCUCGCAUGCUUAAUGAGUCUAUCUAUGCUGAUGUUACUAUCAAAACAAAUGAUGGCACCCUGUGGGCUCACAAGGCAAUUCUCUCUGCAAGUUCUCCAGUGUUCCAUAGCAUGUUUUUGGAAAAUCCCGAGGAAGAGUCCUCCACAGUCAAUAUAGAGGACAUGGCAGUCGAUUCCUGCACUGCUCUUCUCAGCUACUUGUAUGGAACUAUCAAUCAAGAGGAUUUUUGGAAGCACCGAUUAUCUUUGCUUGGUGCGGCCAACAAGUAUGAUAUUAUAGAUUUAAAAGAUCUAUGUGAAGAAAGCCUCAUGGAAGACAUUAAUUGCGGGAAUGUGCUCGAGAGGCUACAAGAGGCUUGUCUUUACAAACUUGACAAGCUAAAGAAAGGGUGUAUGACGUACUUGUUUGAUUUUGGAAAGAUUUAUGAUGUUAGAGAUGAACUUGGUGUCUUCUUCAAGCAUGCAGAACGAGAGCUAAUGGUGGAUAUGUUUCAAGAGGUGCUUGCGGCCUGGAAACUAGCUUAAGUUUUUACCUGGCUAUUCUCAGCCAUGUAGUUUACACAGGGACAUCUGUGGAAAUCUGUACAGGCACUAGAAUUACCUUGUACAAGGCGAACAUAUGAGGUGCUUCUGGUCUGGGUAGGUGCUUCUGGUCUUGUUUUUCAUAGCCUAAGAGGAUGUGGUUCUUUUUAUUGAAUUGAUCAUCAGCUGUUCGUCCACCCUGGGCAGGCAAAGUGGAUUUGGAGUUUAGACAAAGGGAUAAGUUGGUAUAAUAUUUUUUAUUUAAUACAUUAAUACAAGUUUACAAUUUAUUACCUUGUGUACAUUAUAAUUCUCAAAAUUAGAAUGACUGUCAUUCUAGUUUGUUAAUAGCAAGAUUCCAAGGUUUUUUUUUUCAA